ACUCCGUGCCAGCAGCCGCGGUAAUACGGAGGAUCCGAGCGUUAUCCGGAUUUAUUGGGUUUAAAGGGAGCGUAGGCGGACGCUUAAGUCAGUUGUGAAAGUUUGCGGCUCAACCGUAAAAUUGCAGUUGAUACUGGGUGUCUUGAGUACAGUAGAGGCAGGCGGAAUUCGUGGUGUAGCGGUGAAAUGCUUAGAUAUCACGAAGAACUCCGAUUGCGAAGGCAGCCUGCUGGACUGUAACUGACGCUGAUGCUCGAAAGUGUGGGUAUCAAACAGGAUUAGAUACCCUGGUAGUCCACACAGUAAACGAUGAAUACUCGCUGUUUGCGAUAUACAGUAAGCGGCCAAGCGAAAGCGUUAAGUAUUCCACCUGGGGAGUACGCCGGCAACGGUGCAACUCAAAGGAAUUGACGG
This 414-nucleotide ribosomal RNA is filed under the name uncultured Bacteroidota bacterium. Its description in RNAcentral is "bacterial SSU rRNA". It matches the Rfam family "Bacterial small subunit ribosomal RNA", at positions 500 to 916 of the family's 1533-position model. Lineage: Bacteria; Pseudomonadati; Bacteroidota. The record is from RNAcentral.